UUGACCUCGGAUCAGUAGGAUACCCGCUGAACUUA
RNAcentral lists this ribosomal RNA (35 nucleotides) under Exserohilum rostratum. RNAcentral describes it as "partial 28S ribosomal RNA". Lineage: Eukaryota; Fungi; Ascomycota; Dothideomycetes; Pleosporales; Pleosporaceae. The record is from RNAcentral.